AGCAGCCGCGGUAAUUCCAGCUCCAAUAGCGUAUAUUAAAGUUGUUGCAGUUAAAAAGCUCGUAGUUGAAUUUCGGGAUCAAUACGUCGGUCAUGCUUUUUGGUACGAACUGGCGUCAUUGGUUUCUCCUUUCUGACGAACCAUGAUGUCAUUAAUUUGGUGUUAUGGGGAGUUGGGACUGUUACUUUGAAAAAAUUAGAGUGUUUAAAGCAGGCAUAAGCUUGAAUACAUUAGUAUGGAAUAAUGAAAUAGGACGUUUGAUCCUAUUUUGUUGGUUUCUAGGAUCAACGUAAUGAUUAAUAGGGAUAGUUGGGGGCAUUAGUAUUCAAUUGUCAGAGGUGAAAUUCUUGGAUUUAUUGAAGACUAACUACUGCGAAAGCAUUUGCCAAGGAUGUUUUCAUUAAUCAAGAACGAAAGUUAGGGGAUCGAAGACGAUCAGAUACCGUCGUAGUCUUAACCAUAAACUAUGCCGACCAGGGAUCGGAUGAUGUUAAUUUUUUAAUGACUCAUUCGGCGCCUUACG
Molecule: ribosomal RNA, 523 nt
Filed under: uncultured Glomeraceae
Lineage: Eukaryota; Fungi; Glomeromycota; Glomeromycetes; Glomerales; Glomeraceae
Description: SSU rRNA
Rfam family: Eukaryotic small subunit ribosomal RNA
Source: RNAcentral